Molecule: small nuclear RNA, 22 nt
Filed under: Arabidopsis thaliana (thale cress)
Lineage: Eukaryota; Viridiplantae; Streptophyta; Magnoliopsida; Brassicales; Brassicaceae
Description: snRNA_08001
Source: RNAcentral
AUGAGUUUCACCAACUUUAGCC